RNAcentral lists this ribosomal RNA (855 nucleotides) under uncultured bacterium. RNAcentral describes it as "bacterial SSU rRNA". It matches the Rfam family "Bacterial small subunit ribosomal RNA", at positions 85 to 915 of the family's 1533-position model. The record is from RNAcentral.
CUCGAGUAGAGCGGCGAACGGGUGAGUAACGCGUGAGAAACCUGCCUUCAUCUGGAGGAUAACACUCCUAACGGGGUGCUAAUACCGCAUGAGACCACGGGAUCGCAUGGUCCUGAGGUCAAAGGUGGCCUCUAUUUAUAAGCUACCGGAUGAAGAUGGUCUCGCGUCCCAUUAGCUAGUUGGCGGGGUAAUGGCCCACCAAGGCGACGAUGGGUAGCUGGUCUGAGAGGAUGGUCAGCCACACUGGGACUGAGAUACGGCCCAGACUCCUACGGGAGGCAGCAGUCGAGAGGCUUCGGCAAUGGGGGAAACCCUGACCGAGCGACGCCGCGUGGGGGAUGAAGGCCCUUGGGUUGUAAACCCCUUUUUGUUCGGGAAGAAAUGCGAUCAGGUUAAUAAUCUGGUCGUUUGACGGUACCGGACGAAUAAGCUCCGGCUAACUCCGUGCCAGCAGCCGCGGUAACACGGGGGGAGCAAGCGUUGUUCGGAAUCACUGGGCGUAAAGGGCGUGUAGGCGGUCAGGUAAGUGAGAUGUGAAAUGCCCCGGCUCACCCGGGGACCGGCAUCUCAUACUGCUUGGCUUGAGUACGGGAGAGGAUGUGGGAAUUCCUGGUGUAGCGGUGAAAUGCGUAGAUAUCAGGAGGAACACCGGUGGCGAAGGCGCACAUCUGGCCCGAUACUGACGCUGAGGCGCGAAAGCUAGGGGAGCAAACGGGAUUAGAUACCCCGGUAGUCCUAGCCGUAAACGGUGAUCACUAGGUGUUGGAGGCAUUGACCCCUCCAGUGCCGCAGCUAACGCAUUAAGUGAUCCGCCUGGGGAGUACGGCCGCAAGGUUGAACUCCAAUGAAUUGACG